AGACCGAUAGCGAACAAGUAGAGUGAUCGAAAGAUGAAAAGCACUUUGAAAAGAGAGUUAAACAGCACGUGAAAUUGUUGAAAGGGAAGCGUUGUCCACCAGACUCGCCCGGGGGGGUUCAGCCGGCACGUGUGCCGGUGUACUCCUCUCCGGGCGGGCCAGCAUCGGUUUGGGCGGCUGGUGAAAGGCCCCGGGAAUGUAACACCCUCCGGGGUGCCUUAUAGCCCGGGGUGCCAUACAGCCAGCCUGGACCGAGGCCCGCGCUUCGGCGAGGAUGCUGGCGUAAUGGUGGUCAACGGCCCGUCUUGAAACACGGACCAAG
This 322-nucleotide ribosomal RNA is filed under the name Talaromyces angelicae. RNAcentral's name for it is "LSU rRNA". It matches the Rfam family "Eukaryotic large subunit ribosomal RNA", at positions 331 to 670 of the family's 3401-position model. Lineage: Eukaryota; Fungi; Ascomycota; Eurotiomycetes; Eurotiales; Trichocomaceae. The record is from RNAcentral. RNAcentral also lists the same sequence under 1 other name.